Molecule: long non-coding RNA, 3274 nt
Organism: Epinephelus moara (kelp grouper)
Lineage: Eukaryota; Metazoa; Chordata; Actinopteri; Perciformes; Serranidae
Exons: 3
Source: RefSeq, a predicted model, not a curated record
AGGAUCUCACAGUGGAGCAGUGGACUAAAUUUUAAAAUGUGAGUCUACCCUGGAGGACUCUUUGGCACCUGAUUUCCAUCAAAAUUUGCUCCUGGGAAUGUCCUGAAUCAGACCAGCCUUUGCUCCUGACCCCCGGCCACAGAAAACCACUUUCUCUGUGCGACCACACAAAAGGUGCAGUCAGUGUGUGUGUGUGGUACAGUGCAGGGCGAUGGUGAUGCUCCUUUCUUCUUAUGGCUGAAUCCCAGAUGAGGAUGUGUUGAGGACCUGACAGGAGCCGAUUCAUCAUCCCUCACAGGUCAUCCAUCACCAGCAGCAGGCAGAGGAGCAGCGCUGGGCGGGGUGACAGCCCGGGCGCUUAUGGGGAGCACUCUGCUCGGAGCACCCAACUGGGUGCUCAGUCCAGCGUGUGCUUCAGAGAGCGUCCUGUUGUGCAGUGCGGUGAUUAUUUCAGCCUGUGCAGUGUCCACAUGUUGAGGUGAUAGAUUGGUAAUAAAGGGAGGUUAUGAGAUAUCUAUUAAUGCCAUCUCGGGACAAUCUGAAUCAUUCAGUGACAUUAUAAAGGAAUGAGUUUACAGGAAGAGGAUUCAGUUUCAGUCUGUGUUUUUGAUUAUCUAACUUUACUAACUUCUGAUCCAACAAGAUGUGAAGAGAAGAUUUUAGAGGAGGCCUGGAGCGAGAGUUCUGGUUUAUGUUUUUUAAGAGAAAUCAGUGGCUAAUAUAUCAGGCCAGCACUGGAAUUUUAUUUGAUACUGCUCAGUCAUGUGUUCCUCUACAGACAAUAUUUAUCAUAUUAUUUUUUUGUACUUUGUGACUACUUCCUAAAUAUUUGAUAAUGCUUCCCAGUCAUAAGGUUUAACUCUAAAUAGGCGUCUCUCCUCUUGGCCACAAAGAUUAGGUUUAAGUAAUUGUCUGAAUAUUGUUUAUAAGGAUUAUUUCACCAUGUGAAGAAUGAAACUUGAUUUAUUGUAAUUCUUGCCAUGAAAACUGAAACAACAAUGAGAGUCCAAAGCCAUCAGUCAGUCGCCAGAAGAAAAUGUUUCCAUUGGACGUUUCUGCAAACCACAAACACAUUACAUUUACACGCUUCAUACGUGUCAUAUCAGCGUUUCUGAAGUGAUGUAAUAUAUGAGAUGACUUUGUCAGUGGGAGGUGGGGUGAUGCUGGAUGGCAUGUCACCUAUACAAGAUGCCUGCCAAGCUGCAGACCACUGUUUGAGACCUACAAACAACAAAGCUGGUUGUGUUUAAGUGAAACAAAAGUUGGUGUGUUACGGGUGGCUUUUUAGGCACCUACUGCUGAAACAUAAUGUUUCAACAUAUCCGCUUCGUAAUAACAUACAAAUGUGGAGUAUCUGUGGUUUGCAGAAACGUGCAAUUCUACCAUUUACUCUGGUGAUCAGGGUGCAGUCAUGCUGUACGUAGGGCUAACUGUACGUUUGAGCUCAAUGCUAACACCAGCAUGCUAACAUGUUUAUAUAACUAGGUUAAUGUGCUGAUAUUUAGUAGGUGUAUUGUUUACCCUAUGAAACCAUCUCAUUUGGAAAUAUAAAAAAUGUAUGAAACCUCUGUAUGAGAACAUAUUUUUGCAUUUAUUGCCUAUUGUUUUUGGGGUUUUUUUCAGUUUUGUCCCUUAUGUUAUUUUUUGUUUUAAUAAUUUUAAUUUGUUUCACCUGUCAUGUUUUUAUCCAGGUCAUGUGAUUACCUCCCACUUGCUGUUGCUAUAUACUGUAUAGUAUGUUGCUAGGUGAGGCCACACCUGUGUUGUGUGUUUAUUAAAUAAGGCUUUUUAAGAUUUCGUGUGUGGUUGUUAGUUUAGCAGGUUAGCAUGCUAACAUUUACUAAUUAGCACUUAACACAAAGUACAAUCUAAUUAUUUUUGCAAGUAUUUGGUCAUAAACCAAAGUGUCAGACAAACUGGAAAUUUUGACCAGAUGAUGGCGUUUGAUGAGACAUUAAAAGGACAGUUCACCCCAAAAUCAAGAAAUAUAUAAAUUUCCUUUCACCUGUGGUGCUGUUUGUCAGUCUAGAUUGUUUUGGCGUGAGAUGUCGCGUGUUGGCAAUAUUGGCUUUAUUUGUCUGCCUUCUCUCAAAUAUAAUGGAGCUAUGGCACUUGGCUUGAGGCACUCAAAGCCGCAAAAAAUACAUUUGAAAAACUCACCAGCAGUGUCUCUUUCCAGGAAUCAUGACCCUGCUAUUCAAAAUGAUUCACAGACCUUGUUUUGAGCAGUUUCGUGAGCAGUAAACAUUAUUGCCGUCCUCAUCAGCUGAGCUGUAACCUUAGCUAGCUAAAUAAUGCUAGGUGAGCUAGCAGUAGAUGCACACUUCCUACAGUUGGUGGGCGUAGUUCAGUAGAAAGAAAAUAGUCCCACAUGAAACUCUCCACAACAAGGUCAGUAGGUUAUCCUGGUUAACCCGGUCAUGAUUUCUAGAAAGAGACACUGGCGUUGAGUUUUUCAAAUGUUUUUUUUCCCACUUUCAUUAUAUUUGAGAGAAGGCAGACAUCUCUACGGCCGAAAUUUCCAACACUCUGCAACUGACAUCAAAACAAUCUCGGGUGAUAAUUAGAUAAAGGUAAGAGGAAAAAUAUGAAUUUUGGAGUGAACUAUCCCUUUAAGGGAUCACCAAAGUAGGCCUACAAUUCACCUUCAGGGGAACUUGAAUAUCUGAACCAACAGCUGUUUUGUCCAAAUACAAAAAUGAUGGUCGACGUCAUGGUAGCUCUGUCAGGAGAGUCAUUAAUGUCUGUGAGCUUCACCCUCUGGAGUUCAUAAAUGUCAAAUCAAAAUUAAACGGUAAUCAAUCAAGAAGUUGUUGAGUUAUUUCAGAUUUCUAAAAACAUCAGGUUAUUAACAUGUGCAACUAUGAGUGUGUAUGUGUACAUGUUUGCAUCUGUGCAUGUGUUUUACAUCUUGUUUGCGCAGAUAUAUACACUGCAUGUGUGUGUCCCAGGCGCACUGCCCUGCCACCUGUCUGGCCAUCCGCUGCGUCCCUUCCUUUGAUGCAGGGCGGCGGUGUGUCAUCCAGAUGUGGCGGCAGAGGUUUGAAGAGUUCAGUUAGUCCCUGGGGAUUUUCCCCCUAAGCCCCUCGCACAAGCAGGGCCGCUGGGAAGACCCAUACAGCUCACAUAUGUGUGUUUUUCUGCCUACCUCCCUCCAUUGUCAUAGACUCUGUCUUCUCACUUCCACUUCAGCUACUUCUUAGUCUUACCUGCUGCUUCAUCUUUCUCCUUCUUCUCCUCUUUUUGACAUUUGUCCUUUGAUUUUCAACAUCCU